RNAcentral lists this unclassified non-coding RNA (234 nucleotides) under uncultured Boletus. Its description in RNAcentral is "sequence contains ITS2". Lineage: Eukaryota; Fungi; Basidiomycota; Agaricomycetes; Boletales; Boletaceae. The record is from RNAcentral.
AAUUCUCAACCAUGAGUCUUGACUCGUGGCUUGGAGUUGGGGGUUUGCUGGCGGCGAAAAGCUGUCAGCUCUCCUGAAAUGCAUUAGCAAAGGGGUGGCAAGUCUAAGUCUGACGUGCACGGCCUUCGACGUGAUAAUGAUCGUCGUGGCUGGAGCGUCGAGACGUGCAGGAAUCGUCCUUGCUUCCAAUCCUACAUAUAUCCUAUGACUACUAGUCGUUGGGUCUAUUUCGAA